Molecule: ribosomal RNA, 497 nt
Filed under: uncultured bacterium
Lineage: Bacteria
Description: partial 16S ribosomal RNA
Rfam family: Bacterial small subunit ribosomal RNA
Source: RNAcentral
GAUGAACGCUGGCGGCGUGCCUAAUACAUGCAAGUCGAGCGAACAGACGAGGAGCUUGCUCCUCUGACGUUAGCGGCGGACGGGUGAGUAACACGUGGAUAACCUACCUAUAAGACUGGGAUAACUUCGGGAAACCGGAGCUAAUACCGGAUAAUAUAUUGAACCGCAUGGUUCAAUAGUGAAAGACGGUUUUGCUGUCACUUAUAGAUGGAUCCGCGCCGCAUUAGCUAGUUGGUAAGGUAACGGCUUACCAAGGGUACGAUGCGUAGCCGACCUGAGAGGGUGAUCGGCCACACUGGAACUGAGACACGGUCCAGACUCCUACGGGAGGCAGCAGUAGGGAAUCUUCCGCAAUGGGCGAAAGCUUGACGGAGCAACGCCGCGUGAGUGAUGAAGGUCUUCGGAUCGUAAAACUCUGUUAUUAGGGAAGAACAAAUGUGUAAGUAACUAUGCACGUCUUGACGGUACCUAAUCAGAAAGCCACGGCUAACUACGUG